GCUCCUGUAGCUCAGUGGUUAGAGCGCGGUACUUAUAAGUUGAUACCUUAUGGUGACAGCAGAGUAUGCUGAGGCGCGAGUUCAUCUCGCCAGAGCA
This 97-nucleotide transfer RNA is filed under the name Enterocytozoon bieneusi H348. It matches the Rfam family "tRNA". Rfam says of the family: Transfer RNA (tRNA) molecules are approximately 80 nucleotides in length. Their secondary structure includes four short double-helical elements and three loops (D, anti-codon, and T loops). Further hydrogen bonds mediate the characteristic L-shaped molecular structure. tRNAs have two regions of fundamental functional importance: the anti-codon, which is responsible for specific mRNA codon recognition, and the 3' end, to which the tRNAs corresponding amino acid is attached (by aminoacyl-tRNA synthetases). tRNAs cope with the degeneracy of the genetic code in two manners: having more than one tRNA (with a specific anti-codon) for a particular amino acid; and 'wobble' base-pairing, i.e. permitting non-standard base-pairing at the 3rd anti-codon position. The record is from Rfam by way of RNAcentral. Lineage: Eukaryota; Fungi; Microsporidia; Enterocytozoonidae.